GGCGAUUUAGCUCAGUUGGUUAGAGCGUGUGCUUAACACCUUGGAUCCCCUAGCGGUGAAGAGUUACGCACAAGGUCGGCGGUUCAACCCCGUCAAACGUCA
Molecule: non-coding RNA, 102 nt
Organism: Apiotrichum porosum
Lineage: Eukaryota; Fungi; Basidiomycota; Tremellomycetes; Trichosporonales; Trichosporonaceae
Source: the annotation of a RefSeq genome assembly